This 406-nucleotide long non-coding RNA is filed under the name Brassica rapa (field mustard). RNAcentral's name for it is "long non-coding RNA (BRAP_LNC002895)". The record is from RNAcentral. Lineage: Eukaryota; Viridiplantae; Streptophyta; Magnoliopsida; Brassicales; Brassicaceae.
GCAAAUUGUAAUUAUUCUGGUUAUACAAAAAAUUGGAUAUACGUAUUUUCCCAUAAUAAAACAAAUUAGAAAAUUAGAUAUCUGUAAAAUACGAAACAAAUCACGAAAAUUAUGGUAGUAUUCAUUCUGAUAUUACACCUUAGUAGAGAGAACAACGUUUAAACGUUAAAAUCCCUGAUUCAAUUAUGAUGAUUAGACAAUGCAAACAAAUUUUCUCACACAACAUAUGAAUUUUAAGUAGAUUUUAUUAAAUGCACGUUCAAGAAAGAAAACAAAAAAAACAAAAAAAUGUAGAUAUGGGUAGCUGGGUAGAUUAAAGCACCACUUGUAUUCGUCCAUCAAAUCUAAUUCACAUUCCGAUUAGGUUCUUUUGUACUUCAAACCUGACAUCGGUCUUUUGCUUUUC